Molecule: ribosomal RNA, 409 nt
Filed under: uncultured bacterium
Lineage: Bacteria
Description: bacterial SSU rRNA
Rfam family: Bacterial small subunit ribosomal RNA
Source: RNAcentral
GUACAGUGGACACAGGUGGUGCAUGGUUGUCGUCAGCUCGUGUCGUGAGAUGUUGGGUUAAGUCCCGCAACGAGCGCAACCCUUGUCUUUAGUUGCCAGCAUUAAGUUGGGCACUCUAGAGAGACUGCCGAUGACAAAUCGGAGGAAGGUGGGGAUGACGUCAAAUCAUCAUGCCCUUUAUGUCCUGGGCUACAAACGUGCUACAAGGGUCGGUAAAACGAGAGGCAAGCUAGCGAUAGCAAGCAAAUCUCCAAAAGCCGAUCCAAGUUCGGAUUCCAGGCUGCAACUCGCCUGAAUGAAGUCGGAUUUGCUAGUAAUCCCGGAUCAGAAUGGCGCGGUGAAUGGGUUUCCGGGUCUUGUACACACGGCCCGUCACACCAUGGGAUUUGUCAAUACCCGAAGGCAGAGA